CAAUAGCGUAUAUUAAAGUUGUUGCAGUUAAAAAGCUCGUAGUUGGACUUCUGAUGUGGAGGGACGGUCCGCCUCACGGUGAGCACUGAUUCUUCACGUCUUCCUCUCGUAGUCUUUUGGCGCACUUAGUUGGGUGCCUUUAGAAUAUGGGACCUUACUUUGAAAAAAUUAGAGUGUUCAAAGCAGGCAAUCGCUUGAAUACAUUAGCAUGGAAUAAUAGAAUAGGACUUUGGUUCUAUUUUGUUGGUUUCUAGUACUGAAGUAAUGAUUGAUAGGGAUAGUUGGGGGUGCUAGUAUUGGCCGGCCAGAGGUGAAAUUCUUGGAUUCGGUCAAGACUAACUUAUGCGAAAGCAUUCACCAAGGAUGUCUUCUUUAAUCAAGAACGAAAGUUGGGGGAUCGAAGAUGAUUAGAUACCA
RNAcentral lists this ribosomal RNA (417 nucleotides) under uncultured eukaryote. RNAcentral's name for it is "bacterial SSU rRNA". It matches the Rfam family "Eukaryotic small subunit ribosomal RNA", at positions 592 to 1017 of the family's 1831-position model. The record is from RNAcentral.